AAGAAAGUCACAAUCCAUAUGCAUAACUCUGCAAGGCACAUCACCGUUAUUUCCAUUUUAUAUAUGAAAAAACUACAGUUGGGAGAGAGAGAGAAUGAUUUGUCCAGAGCUAUCUCGCAUUUCCAUAACUAAACUUGGAUUUGAUGCUGAGAUUAUAGCAUCCUUGGUCCUGUUAUAGGUUUGGGGGGAGGAUCCAGUCUAAAUCCUAUAAAUUAAUAAAUGGUAGGAUUUUGAUUAACUGGGAUGAAGGGAGAGAUACAAACUGCAGGUGAAUUUCUAGGCUAGCCUAUGCAAAAGGAGGUGGCUGAGCUAGCAUCAUGAAGAAACAAUGCAGGGCGAUUGGCAAGGCAAGAGACUUGUCCUUCCCCCUUGCCCUGAGGUGUGAGCAAAGGCUGGGGAUUUGGAAGGUUGCCAGGGUAACUGGGUGUGAUGUCACAGGAAGAGUUGGGGGCCUUUGGCAGGAGGCUUUGAAUAGCUAAGAAAAGGGCAGAAAGAUCUUGGCUGGCCGAAGGCAGGCAGGGAGAGAUGCUUCGGACUCCAGUGCUGCACUACCACGGGGAACAAGCCCUUCUUGAGAUGGCCAUGCUGUAAGAUCUGGACUCCCUCCAUCUAAAUUCAAGUAUAAAUAUGUGAAUAAAUAAUAUUUCUUAAAGCUACAACAGUCCCUGCAGGAUCUUCAGUUCUCCAAAGGAGCACAGAUCCUGGUUGAGGGCCAAGACCCCUGGAAUCCUGUGCACGGCUCGGGAUGGCCUGUAAAGGUAAAGGGACCCCUGACCAUUAGGUCCAGUCGUGGCCGACUCUGGAGUUGCGGCGCUCAUCUCACUUUAUUGGCUGAGGGAGCCGGCGUAUAGUUUCCAGGUCAUGUGGCCAGCAUGACUAAGCCGCUUCUGGUGAACCAGAGCAGCGCAUGGAAACGCCGUUUACCUUCCCGCCGGAGCGGUACCUAUUUAUCUACUUGCACUUUGACGUGCUAGGUUGGCAGGAGCAGGGACCGAGCAACGGGAGCUCACCCCGUCGCAGGGAUUCAAACCGCUGAUGACCUGAUCGGCAAGUCCUAGGCGCCUGUAACUAUCUGCAAAUAAGGGGAGGUCAUCAUAUACUCGGAGGCCCCUACCAACUAUGUCUCCCGAAUCUAUGCACACUUACCAGGAAGCAAGUUUAAAUUAAUUUUGUAGAGCAUACUCUCAAAUAAGAGUGUGUAAGAUUAGACCCAUCACCUGCUCCUGAACCAGCAACGGUUAUAGAUUGUUGUAAUUGCCCCGGAGGCCAUGAACUGUAGUCGGCUCAUUGACUCAUGUAAUCAAAGAUUAUACAUUUUAAUUUCCAAGUGUAUCUUUCAAAGCUGCUACGUUAAGGCCAAGGAUCAAGAGUCAUCUUACCUUAAGUCACUAGAAGAUAAUAUUGGUCUGUGUAAAGCUAUGACUCACUUGCUUUCCAUAAUUGUUUUAUGAAGAGGUUUGUGUAAUAAAACUUGGCCCAGUUAAAGUUAUCAGCACCAUGCUCUAACCAACUAUAUCAUCAUAUCUGUUUUCUUAUUUUCUCUCUGUGAUCAGCACAGUAACAAAUAUCCACCAAUAACUCUUGGUCCCCCCCCCCAAUGUAGUAUCCUUGUAUUAAAAGGAAUGGGUAGGGGACCAUGGCUUGAUGCUUACAUUUUUGCAUUGGGUGGAAAGAAUAAUAGAAACAGAAUUGUAGGGAUGGAAGGGUCAUCUAGUCCAACCCCCUACUAUAGCUAAAGAAUCCCUGACAGGUGGCCAUCCAACCUAUGUUGAAAAACCUCUAUUGCCAAAAAACCCAACACCUCUGAAUCCAUAAAGGAAGGGACAAACAGAUCUUAAUCUGUGGCAGGGCUUGGCAAUGAAACCUAGUUUCAUUAACAGGGCUCUUAUUUCACAACAGCUGAGACUUUCUCCCUAUACAGUGGUACCUUGGUUCUUAAAUGCCUUGGUACUCAAACAACUUGGAACCCAAACACUGCAAACCUGGAAGUAAGUGUUCCAGUUUGCAAACUUUUUUUGGAAGCCAAACGUGCUGCAUUUUGAGUGUUACGCUUCCAAUCUGAGUGCCACACUUCUGUUUUGAGUGUUACGCUGAGGUCUGUCUGUUUUUGUUAUUUUUUGUUUUGUUUUUUUUGCAGCUCCCUUUUUGUUUUUGUGACUGUGUGGAACCCAGUUCAGCUACUGAUUCAUUGAUUGUGUGACUGCAGUACAUUGUUUAUUGCUUUCAUUUUAUGGAUCAAUGGUCUCGUUACAUAGUAAAAUUCAUGUUAAAUUGCUGUUUUAGGGGUUGUUUUUAGAAGUCUGGAACGGAUUAAUCUAUUUUGCAUUAUAAUAAUAAUAAACUCUGGGUGGCUCCCAAUCGAGUGUUAAAAACAAUACAGCAUUAAAUAUUAAAACUUCCCUAAACAGGGCUGCCUUCAGAUGUCUUUUAAAGAUAAGAUAGCUGCUUAUUUCCUUCACAUCUGAUGGGAGGGUGUUCCACAGGGCGGGCACCACUACUGAAAAGGCCCUCUGUCAUUACUUUAUAUAGGGAAGUGCACCUUGGUUUUGGAACACUUUGGUUUUGGAACGGACUUCCAGAACGUAUUAAGUUUGAGAACCAAGGUGCCACUGUAACUCUAGUCUGCUUGGAGAGGAGAGUACUUCUGAACAUCUGCAGAGGCUUCCCCCUGCCUCCCCCAGUGAAUAUCUACUGUAUUAUCAGUACCAGCACAGCUUCUGGACCUGCUUGAGUUCAGUGACUUAGCUAGUCUCUCUCUCUGCAAAUUAAUAACUGGGAACAGCAUUUAUUGGGAGAUGCUUUUGGCAGACGAUGCAUACAUUUAAAUACUUAUUUUUUACUGUUCUUUACUGACAAUGUUAUUGUUUUUUUUCUUUCUGCAAACCUCUUUUAGGUUUUAUCACAAUCAAGCAGCAUAUAAAUGUUGUAAAAGAAAUAAAAUAUCAUUUCACCGGUGAGACCAGGGGGAUUUUGGAAAUAUUUCUACUACUCCUGUUAUCAUAUACCAGGAUCACUGCUGAAGUGUGUUCCCCUGUGCUUCUCCUCCCAUUGAACAUGGCAUAUCCUUCAGAUGCCCCUGCUUACCAGGGACACACCCUCAUUUCCAGUACCAGUCUAUGUUUUUGCUUUUGGAAGAAGUCUUACUAAAAUAUUAGUGUGAAUUGCCAGGCUUGUCAUUCUUUUGGGAAUUAUAGGGACAGAACCACCCAAACACUACAGAAAUUUAUUCUACAUUCUACAGCAGCAAGAAUGUUACUUACCCAAAAAUGGAAAUAAGUCCAAGUAAAAGAAGAAUGGAUACAAAAACUUAUGGAAUAUGCAGGAAUGGCAGAACUUACCAG
RNAcentral lists this long non-coding RNA (3341 nucleotides) under Podarcis lilfordi (Lilford's wall lizard). The record is from RNAcentral. Lineage: Eukaryota; Metazoa; Chordata; Lepidosauria; Squamata; Lacertidae.